AUGGAAGAAGGCAGUGACUAUUAUGUUGUCAAGAAAGGGGACAUGGUUGCUGUUUAUGAAACUUUAAAUGAUUGCCAGGCGCAAAUUUGCUCUUCGGGUCCUGCUGCAAGUGCCUACAAGGGUUACUGCUGGAGCAAAGAAAAGGCAGAAUACUUCUCUUCACGUGGACUAAUCAAUGCUUCGUAUACAAUCAGUGCAGCUGAACUUAGGGAAGAUUUAUUGGGUGCCCUUGUGCCCUGCACUUUCCAGGCAAGCUACGUGCAAGAGAAGUACGUAACCACACAACCAUCAAAUGUAACAUCUUACUUCUUAUCAAAUGAUAAUUUUGGUGGCGCUGCUAGAAGGAGGGCACAAGAGGGCCGGCCGGGGGCCUUUUGCUCACGGCCAGGCAAGAGGGAAGGGAUUUCCUUCUUAAUUCUUAUAUCUCGACUUCGUGAGGGUCUUGGUGUUGUUACCAAUAAUGUUGCCGAGUACCGGGGCCUUAUCUUAGGACUGAAAUAUGCCAUCAGGCUUGGAUUCAAGAGAAUCAAAGUAUAUGGUGACUCUCAACUAGUCUGUUAUCAGGUGAAAGGUACAUGGCAAGCAAAGAAAGAGAAUAUGAUGGAACUGUGCAAAGAAGUGAGAAAACUUCAAGAGAACUUCAUCUCUUUUGAGGUCCACCAUGUGCGACGGGAAUGGAACUCUGAGGCGGAUCGCCAGGCAAACAUAGCCAUCACCCUCGCAAGAUCUGUAACAGCCGCCCUGGCCUGCGUGCCGCCUCUCAAGGGCUCCCUCCUGUAUAUGAUGUACCAUUGUAACUGA
RNAcentral lists this ribosomal RNA (801 nucleotides) under Triticum aestivum (bread wheat). RNAcentral describes it as "partial small subunit ribosomal RNA". Lineage: Eukaryota; Viridiplantae; Streptophyta; Magnoliopsida; Poales; Poaceae. The record is from RNAcentral.